UUUUAUGAGAGUUUGAUCCUGGCUCAGGACGAACGCUGGCGGCGUGCCUAAUACAUGCAAGUCGAACGCUUCUUUUUCCACCGGAGCUUGCUCCACCGGAAAAAGAGGAGUGGCGAACGGGUGAGUAACACGUGGGUAACCUGCCCAUCAGAAGGGGAUAACACUUGGAAACAGGUGCUAAUACCGUAUAACAAUCGAAACCGCAUGGUUUUGAUUUGAAAGGCGCUUUCGGGUGUCGCUGAUGGAUGGACCCGCGGUGCAUUAGCUAGUUGGUGAGGUAACGGCUCACCAAGGCCACGAUGCAUAGCCGACCUGAGAGGGUGAUCGGCCACAUUGGGACUGAGACACGGCCCAAACUCCUACGGGAGGCAGCAGUAGGGAAUCUUCGGCAAUGGACGAAAGUCUGACCGAGCAACGCCGCGUGAGUGAAGAAGGUUUUCGGAUCGUAACACUCUGUUGUUAGAGAAGACCAAGGAUGAGAGUCAGGGGACAUCCCUUUACUGUAUCUAACCAGAAAGCCACGGCUAACUACGUGCCAGCAGCCGC
This 546-nucleotide ribosomal RNA is filed under the name Enterococcus faecium. RNAcentral describes it as "bacterial SSU rRNA". It matches the Rfam family "Bacterial small subunit ribosomal RNA", at positions 1 to 518 of the family's 1533-position model. Lineage: Bacteria; Bacillati; Bacillota; Bacilli; Lactobacillales; Enterococcaceae. The record is from RNAcentral.